This is a non-coding RNA of Flavobacterium sp. A45, 78 nucleotides long. Lineage: Bacteria; Pseudomonadati; Bacteroidota; Flavobacteriia; Flavobacteriales; Flavobacteriaceae. The record is from Rfam.
CUUUAGCCCCGAUAGCAGUGAAAAUCCUUAUAAGCCGGGGUUCGGCUUAUAAGAUUGCAACGAAUAGCGGGACCAAUG